UGUUAAUUCAUGCCUAAAGUACAAUGUGUGUGAAAAAAAUACACAAAAAAUGACUACCUAAAUGUUUGACAAAGUCUGGUGGUAGAAUGAGUGCAUGGAAAGUGUUAAAAAAAACACAAUUUUAAAUACCCUAGGGUAUCUACUUUCCAAAAAUAUAUGGUUUGGUGUUGGUAAAAUACAUUGGCCGGCCUUACAAAAGUCCCAAAUAGGACAUGUGCGCAGGUUGACUACAUGUCAAAAUUCCAUGUUGAAAAAUGGAUAUGCACACCUGCCAAAUGUGGCCUUUUAUCCCCGAUACAACCCGACAAGCCUAUGCAUGGGUGGUAUCACUGUACUCAGGAGAUGUUGCUGAACACAUAUUGGGGUGUUGUUUGGCAGUGACACAUAACAGGAUCUGUAAGUUUAUACCUGAAUUGCAAUGUAUGUAAAAAAAAAAAAA
Molecule: non-coding RNA, 439 nt
Organism: Pelobates cultripes (western spadefoot toad)
Lineage: Eukaryota; Metazoa; Chordata; Amphibia; Anura; Pelobatidae
Source: the annotation of a GenBank genome assembly